AGCUGCCCAAAGUCUUCGCGCAGCAACUCUUGCAACGCAAGGCCCUGUUCGAGGCCCCGGACCGCACAUCAAACAACAUUCAGCACCGAAAAAGAAACUGCGGUCAAGUGACAAAAGUAGUGCCUACCUUGGCCAGGUCACUCUUGAGGCUCUCAAGACGCAAUGAGAGGCGUGCCUCGACUGCAUCCACUUGCUGCUGCAACCGUUGGUCCAAGGCUCUCCAUAGCUCCUGGGCACGAGCCUCUUGCUGACGCAACAGAUGGGGAACCUGAAGCAGUCCUUGUUCCAAGAGGGCUUCCAGCAAAGGCCUCUCCCCUGCAUGGCCCAUUUCCACACCAUCUUCUCGCCAGCAUAACAUCUUUUGUUCACUUAAUUCACACUAGCGCCAAGUUGUCCAACACGACUUCAUCUCAAGGUAGACGAGAUUGAGAUCCAAUCGGUUUGCAGAAUGACAGCCCAGCUAGCCGACAACUGAAUCCACCACUUUCAUAAAUUGCCAGUCAGGAG
Ixodes scapularis (black-legged tick) is the source of this 507-nucleotide long non-coding RNA. RefSeq lists it as uncharacterized. The transcript has 3 exons. NCBI's taxonomy places the organism in Eukaryota, Metazoa, Arthropoda, Arachnida, Ixodida, Ixodidae. The record is from RefSeq and is a predicted model, not a curated record.